RNAcentral lists this long non-coding RNA (366 nucleotides) under Homo sapiens (human). RNAcentral's name for it is "HSALNT0104822". Lineage: Eukaryota; Metazoa; Chordata; Mammalia; Primates; Hominidae. The record is from RNAcentral.
GAUUAAUGUACUUUCUGAGUUCCAGUUCCAGUUAGAAAAGCCACAGGAAGGAGAGGGGUUGGUGGCAUUGAGGAUGAUGCCCCAGUCACUGGAAGUCCCUGUGGCUGUUGGGUGGGUAAUCGGGUUGGUGCCUCAGGAUACAGUUCCCUCCCCUCCUGGUGUGUAGACAGCUGGGUGUAGUCAUUAAAGUGGGGCCACUCUCAGAAUAAAUGUGCAGAUUGGCUGGAUCUCAGUUUCAGGGAGAGGACAGGAGGAAGCCACAGAGACUGAAUUGUUAACUCCCUGACAUUUUCCUCCUUUGUCAGUACAAUUUAACUUCCAUGAGGACAGUGAUUUUUUUCCUUCUUGUCUAGCCCCACAACCUGU